AUUGAACGCUGGCGGCAGGCCUAACACAUGCAAGUCGAACGGUAGCACAGAGAGCUUGCUCUCGGGUGACGAGUGGCGGACGGGUGAGUAAUGUCUGGGAAACUGCCCGAUGGAGGGAGAUAACUACUGGAAACGGUAGCUAAUACCGCAUAACGUCGCAAGACCAAAGUGGGGGACCUUCGGGCAUCACACCAUCGGAUGUGCCCAGAUGGGAUCAGCUAGUAGGUGGGGUAAUGGCUCACCUAGGCGACGAUCCCUAGCUGUUCUGAGAGGAUGACCAGCCACACUGGAACUGAGACACGGUCCAGACUCCUACGGGAGGCAGCAGUGGGGAAUAUUGCACAAUGGGCGCAAGCCUGAUGCAGCCAUGCCGCGUGUAUGAAGAAGGCCUUCGGGUUGUAAAGUACUUUCAGCGGGGAGGAAGGCGGUGAAGUUAAUAGCUUCACCGAUUGACGUUACCCGCAGAAGAAGCACCGGCUAACUCCGUGCCAGCCGCCGCGGUAA
This 504-nucleotide ribosomal RNA is filed under the name uncultured bacterium. RNAcentral's name for it is "partial 16S ribosomal RNA". It matches the Rfam family "Bacterial small subunit ribosomal RNA", at positions 30 to 523 of the family's 1533-position model. The record is from RNAcentral.